This 485-nucleotide ribosomal RNA is filed under the name Rhyephenes goureaui. RNAcentral describes it as "eukaryotic LSU rRNA". Lineage: Eukaryota; Metazoa; Arthropoda; Insecta; Coleoptera; Curculionidae. The record is from RNAcentral.
GAGUUCAAGAGUACGUGAACCGUUUAGGGGUAAACCUGAGAAACCCGAAAGGUCGAAGGGAGAAAUUCAUUCGCGUCUCGUCGCAGGCGUCGAACGGGGUCGAGCGACGGAAAGCGCGUUCGCGUGCCUUUCGCGCCCUCCGUCCGACGAACCGGUGACGAACGCGUGCACUUUUCUCCCGGUAGGACGUCGCGAUCCGUUGGGUGUCGGUCUACGGUUCGCGGUGGAGCCCGUCCGUUCGUCGUUUCGGCGAACGGGCGGACCCGCGUGUCCCGGCCGACUCGCUCGACGGUAUAAUUGAAAGGUUCGGGGCCGCUCUAGGAGCGUUCGACUCGAGGCAAGCGCGCCAGAUGCCGUCGGCGAUCGGACCUCGUGCCGAUUCUGACCUCUGGUGACUGUUGGCCGCGACGUUCUCGAACAGACCCUCUCGAUAACGAACCAUCUGCGACGCUAUAGCUUUGGGUACUUUCAGGACCCGUCUUGAA